RNAcentral lists this ribosomal RNA (614 nucleotides) under Pleurotus placentodes. RNAcentral's name for it is "eukaryotic LSU rRNA". The stretch from base 250 to 403 matches the Rfam family "5.8S ribosomal RNA". The record is from RNAcentral. Lineage: Eukaryota; Fungi; Basidiomycota; Agaricomycetes; Agaricales; Pleurotaceae.
CCUGCGGAAGGAUCAUUAAUGAAUUCACUAUGGAGUUGUUGCUGGCCUUUAGGGGCAUGUGCACGCUUCACUAGUCUUUCAACCACCUGUGAACCUUUGAUAGAUCUGUGAAGUCGAUUCUCAAGUCAUUGACUUGGUUUGCUGGGACUUGAUCGUCUCGGUGUGACUACGCAGUCUAUUUACUUACACACCCUAAAUGUAUGUCUACGAAUGUCAUUUAAUGGGCCUUGUGCCUAUAAACCAUAAUACAACUUUCAACAACGGAUCUCUUGGCUCUCGCAUCGAUGAAGAACGCAGCGAAAUGCGAUAAGUAAUGUGAAUUGCAGAAUUCAGUGAAUCAUCGAAUCUUUGAACGCACCUUGCGCCCCUUGGUAUUCCGAGGGGCAUGCCUGUUUGAGUGUCAUUAAAUUCUCAAACUCACGUUGGUUUUGCCAAUUGUGAUGUUUGGAUAGUUGGGGGUUGCUGGCUUUAACAAGUCGGCUCCUCUUAAAUGCAUUAGCAGGACUUCUCAUUGCCUCUGCGCAUGAUGUGAUAAUUAUCACUCAUCAAUAGCACGCAUGAACAGAGUCCAGCUCUCUAACCCGUCCGCAAGGACAACUUGACAAUUUGACCUC